GCUUUCUCCUGAGCCGUCGGAGGGAGCCGGAGCGCUUCUCCCGAGUUGGUGAUAGAUUGGUGGUCAUCCAACAUGCAGAAAUGAAUGAGCAGUGAAAAGCAGCAGAGCCGAUGGGUCAUGUGGAUGUAAGUGCGUUUGAAGGCUUCCACACCCUCUACUCCAGGAUGCUUUUCAACUUAUGGUGGUGUUACAUCCUGAUAAACACAAUCCUCAGAAGUACUUUGGAAACGUACUAGCACCAUUCUCCGAGGCCUGAUGAUCGUACAGUGGCUGGAAACAGCAUUUUCACAUGUGUUUUUCCUGAGUCUAGGUUGUCAGGUGGAUCCUUCUUAGGCUCCUCAGUUUGAACAAACUGUCAGAGUGUAUCAAAGAAUACCAGAUAGGAGAAAGAAAAGUUAACAGCUGAAAAAAAAAAAAAAAGAUGGGAAAAAAGAGUAGGCACUCCCCUCCACCCACUCUCCGGUUCCAUUCAGCACACUGACUUCAUUCAGCAGUUUUUUUCCUGCUUUGUAUGCAAAGACAGAGCCUCUCAUGAGAACUUGGAUGGUGGAGUAUAAA
This 558-nucleotide small RNA is filed under the name Pongo abelii (Sumatran orangutan). Its description in RNAcentral is "processed transcript". Lineage: Eukaryota; Metazoa; Chordata; Mammalia; Primates; Hominidae. The record is from RNAcentral.